Molecule: ribosomal RNA, 460 nt
Filed under: uncultured bacterium
Lineage: Bacteria
Description: partial 16S ribosomal RNA
Rfam family: Bacterial small subunit ribosomal RNA
Source: RNAcentral
CCUACGGGUGGCAGCAGUGAGGAAUAUUGGUCAAUGGCCGGAAGGCUGAACCAGCCAUGCCGCGUGAAGGUCAGUGCCCUAUGGGCGUUAAACUUCUUUUGUGCGGGAGCAAUAAUGGUCACGUGUGGCCAGACGAGAGUACCGUACGAAUAAGCAUCGGCUAACUCCGUGCCAGCAGCCGCGGUAAUACGGGGGAUGCAAGCGUUAUCCGGAAUUUAUGGGUUUAAAGGGUGCGUAGGCUGGGAGGUAAGUCAGCGGGGAAAUGCCCCCGGUCAACGGGGGGAAGUGCCAUUGAUACUGCCUUGCUGGAGUGCGGAUGCGGUGGGAGGAAUGUGUGGUGUAGCGGUGAAAUGCAUAGAUAUCACACAGAACACCGAUUGCGAAGGCAUCUCACGGAUCCGCGAUUGACGCUGAUGCACGAAAGCGUGGGUAUCAAACAGGAUUAGAUACCCGGGUAGUC